RNAcentral lists this ribosomal RNA (657 nucleotides) under Ostreopsis cf. siamensis Dn17EHU. RNAcentral describes it as "LSU rRNA". It matches the Rfam family "Eukaryotic large subunit ribosomal RNA", at positions 36 to 655 of the family's 3401-position model. Lineage: Eukaryota; Dinophyceae; Peridiniales; Ostreopsidaceae. The record is from RNAcentral.
UAGCAUAUUAGUAAGCAGAGGAAUUUCAUCAAACUUGGAUUUUGUAAGUAGUGCGAAUGAACACAAACAUGUUCAACCUCAAAAUUGGUGUGCUCCAUGUGUGCACUGACUUGUUUCAGAGUUCAUCACUAUCAAAGCUGCAUGCAAAUGAUUUUUGAAAGGAUACAACAUGGGAUGUGACAUUCAUGUCUGUGUGCUUGCUUUGAUUACAGUGUGUGCUCUAUGAUUCACAUUUCUUGUAACUGAAAUGCAAAUUGCAUGGUAAAGUUCAUGUGAUGUGAUAUGUGUUUGAGAUUCAUGAUGUGCAAGUACCAUGAGGGAAAUGUGAAAAGGACUUUGAAAAGAGAAUUAAACAAAGCCUGCAUUUGCUGAUUGUAAACGUAAGUGAGGAUUGUAAUAGUAAUGUCUCUGCAUCAGUUGACAUGUCUUACGUGUUGUUGUAUGCUUGGCAUUAUGUUCAGCACCACUGAGUGUGCGUACUGGCUUUGAUUGAACUGAUUUCAUGUGGAACUGUUGAAUGAAGAUGCAUGUACACUUGUGUGAAGUAAUGUACGCACCAACUGUGAUCAUGCACUGUUUGCACAUGUUUUCAUGUGCUUCCUUGCUAAUUCUUGAUGUCACUUGGCAUAUUAUAACUACCCUCACUUGACCCGUCUG